This 427-nucleotide ribosomal RNA is filed under the name uncultured Conexibacter sp. Its description in RNAcentral is "bacterial SSU rRNA". It matches the Rfam family "Bacterial small subunit ribosomal RNA", at positions 355 to 774 of the family's 1533-position model. The record is from RNAcentral. Lineage: Bacteria; Bacillati; Actinomycetota; Thermoleophilia; Solirubrobacterales; Conexibacteraceae.
UGGGGAAUCUUGCGCAAUGCGCGAAAGCGUGACGCAGCAACGCCGCGUGGGGGAAGAAGGCCUUCGGGUUGUAAACCCCUUUCAGUUGGGACGAAGCUUCGGCGGUGAAUAGCCGCCUGGAGUGACGGUACCUUCAGAAGAAGCCCCGGCUAACUACGUGCCAGCAGCCGCGGUAAUACGUAGGGGGCAAGCGUUGUCCGGAAUCAUUGGGCGUAAAGAGCGUGUAGGCGGCUUGGUAAGUCCGCUGUGAAAGUCCAGGGCUCAACCCUGGAAUGCCGGUGGAAACUGCCAAGCUAGAGUCCGGAAGAGGCGAGUGGAAUUCCUGGUGUAGCGGUGAAAUGCGCAGAUAUCAGGAGGAACACCAAUGGCGAAGGCAGCUCGCUGGGACGGUACUGACGCUGAGACGCGAAAGCGUGGGGAGCAAACA